AGCUGUUGGAUUCGGGGCCGUAACACUGUCUGAGAGGGUUACAUAUCUCACAGUGAACCGGUCUCUUUUUCAGCUGCUU
Laticauda laticaudata (blue-ringed sea krait) is the source of this 79-nucleotide microRNA precursor. Ensembl annotates it as microRNA 128-1. Its record names the gene MIR128-1. The record is from Ensembl. Lineage: Eukaryota; Metazoa; Chordata; Lepidosauria; Squamata; Elapidae.